CCCAUUCUUUUCCCUCAUUGGUACCCAUCCUUUUCGAUCUCUAUCUCGCAGAAGCCUUUCUUCCUUGUGAAAGUGUUGCUCAUCGUGGAAGGAGAGAAGGAUGAAAAAUGGGGCUCUUCCAUUUGCUUCCAGAACAGAUUUCUCAAGCUCUCUCACUUAAGCCGCGAACUCCUGGCCUCCGUAAGAAGAAAAGCUUGGCUCCCGUUCUGAUUUGAGGAGAUUUUAAACCCAUAAAAGCUUGGGUUUCCAGCUUUGAAGAAGAAGAUAACUUCUUUCACUGCAAGGACUUUAGACCUCUGAUCUUCUGGCCUUCACGCAAUCUAGAUCUUCACCGUCAAUCUCACUUGGGCUCUGCAUUUUGUGAAGACAACUUCGUCGCUAAGAUUAAAAUAGAGAUUGUAGUGAGCAAAGACCGGGUAUGAAGAGUCUGAGUUAUAAUUUUAGUUCUUAAUGCAUUCUUUUUGAAGUAUUGAUGCUCAGGGAAGAAGGGUUGAAAAUCACAGAUUGAAUCCUGCUCUCAUCACUACUUAGGUUGAAGCUGUGGUUAACAAAAUAAUUGAAGCAGCCAGGACUGGAGAAAUAUUAUUAUUUUGUGUUGAAAAUGAUGUAUACUGACUGAAUUCAAACUAUGACAUCUUUAUAAGUUAGCUUAUUUUUAGACAAUUGUUUAAUGGCUUUGUACCUUUCCAUUUUGUCACCUUUUGAUGUUCUAAGAGAUACAUAUACCCCUCCAGAGAGAAUCAGAUUCAUUAGUUUACAUUAUAUGUCAUGUUUGUUAAGUGAGAUACCACAGCCAUCUAAAAGUUUUAGUCCACCAUGUUAUGUUUGUUAAUAGGAACCCAGAAGAGUCCCGAAUUCAGUUUCCACUCUGACUGAAGAUGGAACUUGGUGCUAUUAAGCUAUCAUCCUCAGCUUCAGAAUUCAGCUGUUCUGGAUCUGAAGAUGUUGAACUUGAUUGACGGAAAAGGUGAUGUCAGGCCUUGUCCAUGUAAGGAGUUGCAAAACACCAACCAAUGAUAUGAACAUGGUAGGGUCUUGAAGCAAUUCACCAUUGUAAGGAGCAAGUUUAGAAGCACAUGAAGGCGAUGCACAUGGUUUGGAAUCUAGCAUGUUGGCUUUUGUUAGGAGAUCCUCGACAUACUUGGUUUGAACCAAGAAGAGCGUGUCUGCCGAUGAGCUUGAAUACCAAGAAAAAAGUGCAAUGGACCAAGAUUCUUCAUAGCAAACUGAGUACUGAGCUUGUUGAUAAAAAAUUCACAAUGAGAAGAAGAGUUACCUAUAAUCAGAAUAUCAUCAGCAUAAACAAGUAUAAAAGUGAGUGAGUGAUCAACCUUGAUAAAGAGUGAAGGAUCUGCUAUAGAGGAACGGAAUCUGAGAGCUACAAGACUACGAUAGAGCUCCUCAUACCAAGCUUGCGGGGUUGUUUGAAACCAUAUAUAGACUUGUGAAGCUUGCACACAAAAUGAGGUCUGGGAGGAUCUAUGAAGUGUGCCAUGAAGGAAGGCAUUGGAGACAUCCAAUCGAGUAAUCUGCCAAUUGAAUUGGAUAGCUAGAGAUAAAACGAGUCUAAUAGUUGUUGAUUUAGCGACUGGACUGAAUGUUUCAUGGUAGUCAAUACCAUGUUGUUGAAGAAACCCUUUAGCAACAAGUCGUGCUUUAUAUCGA
This is a long non-coding RNA of Pyrus x bretschneideri (Chinese white pear), 1665 nucleotides long. RefSeq lists it as uncharacterized. Lineage: Eukaryota; Viridiplantae; Streptophyta; Magnoliopsida; Rosales; Rosaceae. The record is from RefSeq and is a predicted model, not a curated record. The transcript is spliced from 5 exons.